AUACGUAGGGGGCGAGCGUUGUCCGGAAUGAUUGGGCGUAAAGGGUGAGUAGGCGGUUAUAUAUGUCAGGUGUAAAAAGCUAUGGCUUAACCAUAGUAAGCACUUGAAACUGUAUGACUUGAGUGCAGGAGAGGGAAGCGGAAUUCCUAGUGUAGCGGUGAAAUGCGUAGAUAUUAGGAGGAACACCGGUGGCGAAGGCGGGUAACUGGACUGCAACUGACGCUGAGGCGCGAAAGUGUGGGGAGCAAACAGGAUUAGAUACCCUGGUAGUCCACACUGUAAACGAUGAAUGCUAGGUGUAAGAGGUAUCGACCCCUUUUGUGCCGGAGUUAACACAAUAAGCAUUCCGCCUGGGGAGUACGGCCGCAAGGUUGAAACUCAAAUGAAUUGGCGGGG
This 396-nucleotide ribosomal RNA is filed under the name uncultured bacterium. RNAcentral describes it as "partial 16S ribosomal RNA". It matches the Rfam family "Bacterial small subunit ribosomal RNA", at positions 523 to 918 of the family's 1533-position model. The record is from RNAcentral.